This 253-nucleotide ribosomal RNA is filed under the name uncultured bacterium. RNAcentral describes it as "partial 16S ribosomal RNA". It matches the Rfam family "Bacterial small subunit ribosomal RNA", at positions 524 to 776 of the family's 1533-position model. The record is from RNAcentral.
UACGUAGGGUGCGAGCGUUAAUCGGAAUUACUGGGCGUAAAGCGUGCGCAGGCGGUUUUGUAAGUCAGAUGUGGAAUCCCCGGGCUUAACCUGGGAACUGCGUUUGAAACUACAAGGCUAGAGUGUAGCAGAGGGGGGUGGAAUUCCACGUGUAGCAGUGAAAUGCGUAGAGAUGUGGAGGAACACCGAUGGCGAAGGCAGCCCCCUGGGUUAACACUGACGCUCAGGCACGAAAGCGUGGGGAGCAAACAGG